This 251-nucleotide ribosomal RNA is filed under the name uncultured bacterium. RNAcentral describes it as "partial 16S ribosomal RNA". It matches the Rfam family "Bacterial small subunit ribosomal RNA", at positions 104 to 353 of the family's 1533-position model. The record is from RNAcentral.
GGGUGAGUAACACGUAUCCAACCUGCCGUCUACUCUUGGACAGCCUUCUGAAAGGAAGAUUAAUACAAGAUGGCAUCAUGAGUCCGCAUGUUCACAUGAUUAAAGGUAUUCCGGUAGACGAUGGGGAUGCGUUCCAUUAGAUAGUAGGCGGGGUAACGGCCCACCUAGUCUUCGAUGGAUAGGGGUUCUGAGAGGAAGGUCCCCCACAUUGGAACUGAGACACGGCCCAGACUCCUACGGGAGGCAGCAUG